CGCCUCUUGCAAACCUAUAAGAGGUCCAGCCUGCCCAGUGACACACGCUCAACGGCCGCGGUACCCUGACCGUGCUAAGGUAGCACAAUCACUUGUUCUCUAAAUCAGGACAUGUAUGAAUGGCAUCACGAGGAUUAAGCUGUCUCCCUCUUUCAAUCAGUGAAACUAAUCCCCCUGUGAAAAAGCAGGGAUAACUAUAUAAGACGAGAAGACCCUAUGGAGCUUCAAACUAAAUAGUAUGUGCUCAAGCCUUCUGACGAAUUAACACCAAUCGCACUUUACCUACGAGUUUUUGGUUGGGGCGACCCUGGAGAAAAACCCACCCUCCAUGCUGAUAACUUAAAAUUUAAACCCAAAGGCCACAACCUUACAGAUCAGCAAACUGACACCUAUUGACCCAAAUAUUUGACCAACGAACCAAGUUACCCUAGGGAUAACAGCGCUAUCCACUUUAAGAGUGCAUAUCGACAAGUGGGCUUACGACCUCGAUGUUGGAUCAGGGUACCCCAGUGGUGCAGCCGCUACUAAAGGUUCGUUUGUUCAACGAUUAAAACCCU
This 557-nucleotide ribosomal RNA is filed under the name Craugastor gollmeri (evergreen robber frog). Its description in RNAcentral is "partial 16S ribosomal RNA". It matches the Rfam family "Bacterial large subunit ribosomal RNA", at positions 1817 to 2597 of the family's 2925-position model. Lineage: Eukaryota; Metazoa; Chordata; Amphibia; Anura; Craugastoridae. The record is from RNAcentral.